RNAcentral lists this unclassified non-coding RNA (147 nucleotides) under uncultured Helotiales. Its description in RNAcentral is "sequence contains ITS2". Lineage: Eukaryota; Fungi; Ascomycota; Leotiomycetes; Helotiales. The record is from RNAcentral.
CAACCCUCAAGCUCUGCUUGGUAUUAGGCUCCACCUGCUACAGGCGGGCCUUAAAAUCAGUGGCGGUGCCAUCUGGCUUCAAGCGUAGUAAUAUUUCUCGUUUGGGAGUACCGGUUGCGUACCUGCUAAAAAACCCCAAUUUUUAAA